CACUGAGCUUCAGUAGCAAGCUCUUCGCUGCUAUAAGUUUAAACUUUUUCGAAGGAACAAUGAUGGCGCAAAAGAAGUUUUGUAUGCCUUACACAGCGGUCUUCAUGCUUACUGUGUGUUUUCUUCCUUCGCAAAUUGCUCACGGCCAUGAAAUCUUUGACCGCGAAAUCGAGGAAGAGAAAAGUAGCCCUUGGUUUUCUCGCCGAGCGCUUCCUAAGUGGAUAGAAGAGUUACCCGAUUCGGUUCCGCAAUGGAUGAAAACUGCCGCCUCCAACUACCGUGGGUCUCCCCAACAGAUCGUUUGCGCAGUGAAAAACUUGGCCAAGGCGUUGAAUGACAUGCAGGCAGCGAGAGCAAGGAACUGCGAUGAUUACUUUCGUUGCCGUGGAAGUAAAGACGCAGCCCAGUGUGGAACUUAUGCAGCAUCGUUUGCCACUCAAAUAAGAUAUAAACAAGAGUGGAGAUCAGCUGGUAUGGACAAGCAGUAUAACAGCCAGGCUGACGUGUUUGGAUUAGCGGGUGGUGACUGCCUGGAUCAAUAUAAGUACAAGACAUACGGGACUUCCCGUGAAUGCAACGUGCCUUGGUAUUACCACAAAUGAUUCGCCGGCCAUGACUGCCUGGAAACCUCGGAUAGGUUUUACUAUACUCGAGUCUGCUAUAUCCAUCAAAUUUCUGUUAAGUUUAAAAACUUGUUAAGUGAUGUUAAUUAAUUAUUAAGUUCAAUGAAUUAAUCAGAAAGAAAGCAUAAUUACUGAACAAAUUAAGACAACAACAAUAAUAAAAACAUGAUAAGUUACACAAAGGUUUGAUUAACAUUUUUUUGCCAGAGAGGAGUAAAUAAAUAACGACAUUUCAGAUAGUAAUUGGAAAUUCACUCCGGCUCUGUGCGUGCAUGAAUUGAGGCCCUGUCCACACUACACCAGAGAAAUUUGAAAACGCAGCUUUAUUUCUGGGGUUAGGCCUACGGCGUCCAAAAAAAUCCAGAAUAUUGACCACCGGCCGAAAACGGAGCCUUUCGAUAUUCGAAUCACACGAAUUUGAAAACGCCGGCUUGCGUUUUAGUGUGUGGAACCUCUCGAUUAUUCGAAUCCAAUUUUGUUUUCUUGGUAGCUGGGAACUGCAUGUAUUUCUAUUGUAAAACGAAAAUGCAAACGUUCAAGCUGAGAAUUAAACUACUGGACACCAAAAUAGACUCCACAUUGGAGUAAGCCUUAUAUCGGCUAGAUAAUCCCUCUGAAGUUAAUUUUAGAUCUCUCACGGUUUGGACGUCCCAGGGGAUCCUGAGACAGGAAUUUUGCUUACAUGGACAGCCCCAGCAAUUUGACACGGAAAUUCAUCCUCCACGAGAACCAUGGUGAUCCACGAAACGCGCUAGAACUGGAAAAAUAACUUGAGAAGGAUUAUCUUGGGAAUAAGUCUCUUGCCGUUCAUUCUCUCUUAUUCGUUAUGCCUUCUUAAUUUGUCACCACUAGAGCCCAGCUGUCUUGUUGAAUUCAAAUGCUUAAUUGCAUUGCGCAUCCUUGCUGCCCACGUUUUUCAGGUCGUUUGCGCAUGCCUAAACGAGCAGGGCAACCCCACUCACUUAAUGUAUAAAUUUAAAUGACAUAUGGUUGACUACGACAUGUCGCGAUAAAGUUUAAAAUUCUGGUUUGAUAUAUUUCUAUUUCAUAUGCAUCCUCGGAGACCCAGGGGCUACUAGCCGGGACGAUGCGAUAUUUUCGGGCGAGCGAUAUUUUUGGUGCGAAAGUUUACUUCAAGAGCUGAAUAGCCCCUGGGAACUUAUUCUUACCAAACCAGUUCCAGCGCUGGUCAAAUUCCGUCCCGCUGAUUGGCCAGUAGCCCCUGGGUCUCCGAGGAUGUUUCAUAUGGUGUAAAGCCUAGAACUUUCUUUUAGGAAAUGCUGGUUAUGUGCUCAUGCAGAAAAUUCGUUCAGUAAUUUGCUUCAUGAUCUGAAUUAGUUAUUUUUCAAUUAAUUAAGAUAGGUUAUAAUGUGAGAUCAAAGUCUUGUUCAACAGCUGCAACAUUUUAAUGCAAGGAUUUUUUCAGAAAUUUCAGUUAAUACUUUCCCUUCCUUAUUACAAGGGUACGUUCCUAAGAAAAGUCUCGGGGGCAAAAAAGUUGCUAAAACCGUCAUCCAUAUUGCGCAAAAGAGAGCACGGCGACCCUAGUUUUAUACUGCACUGUAUUUUGCAAGAUUUCUAUCAUAAACAACGGAAGGGGCCAGUUUGCCUGUUUUCCUAUAAUAAUGAAUACUGAAAUGUUGAAAAGGAAGAUCCGAUCAGGAAGGUAUUCAACUUAUUCGGUAUGAAACAGAAAUUUUUCUAAUGUUACAAAUAGCAUUCAUAACAUCCAUGUUAGUUUAUUGAAAAGAAUCACGUAUUAUUUUGAUGGUUGAAUACCUGAUUAAGAAUUUAGAGGGCUGAUAUUGAAACCACUACGUCACUGAAGACAAUUAUAUGGUAAUUAACUUCUUAUGUCUUAUGAUUGGCGCCGUGAUCACCAUAAUGGAGGCUCGGUUUAAAACAGCUGUGUGUGGUAGGAAGGAAAAAUUGGUUAACACACUGUUGGAAUAGACUCCGUAUGACUUGAGGACACAGGGAAACUCCACAAAUGUGGACGAGGUAUACGAGCCUCUUGUUGAAGCUCAAGCAAAGAUGAAAAUCUCUUGAAAACCAAAACGGUUCUAAAGGAAUCAUUUUGCCCUAAACUGGCUAAGAACUGACGGAAAGUGGUGGAUCAAAUGAGCGGAAUGGAACUUAAUGGAGUUUUGCCCAAUGGGAAUGUCAAACAACAAAACCUCACCACCUUACAGGUCGACAGAAUAACACGGUCAUCACUCACUCCCACGG
Molecule: unclassified non-coding RNA, 2852 nt
Filed under: Orbicella faveolata
Lineage: Eukaryota; Metazoa; Cnidaria; Anthozoa; Scleractinia; Merulinidae
Description: uncharacterized LOC110040625, transcript variant X7
Source: RNAcentral